UCCAUGCCAAAGCCACGGUGCUAUCCGUA
RNAcentral lists this small RNA (29 nucleotides) under Bombyx mori (domestic silkworm). RNAcentral's name for it is "ovarian small RNA-27010". Lineage: Eukaryota; Metazoa; Arthropoda; Insecta; Lepidoptera; Bombycidae. The record is from RNAcentral.